Vidua chalybeata is the source of this 2187-nucleotide long non-coding RNA. RefSeq lists it as uncharacterized. The record is from RefSeq and is a predicted model, not a curated record. NCBI's taxonomy places the organism in Eukaryota, Metazoa, Chordata, Aves, Passeriformes, Viduidae. The transcript is spliced from 3 exons.
CGGGGCUGUGACACGGGGCUGUGACACGGGGCUGUGACAUGGGGCAGUGACACGGGGCUGUGACACGGGGCUGUGACACGGGGCUGUGACAUGGGGCUGUGACACUGGGCUGUGACACGGGGCUGUGACACAGGGCUGUGACAUGGGGCUGUGACACGGGGCUGUGACACGGGGCUGUGACAUGGGGCUGUGACAGACCCGAGCAGCCGCAGGUCCCGAAGCGACAGGAGCAUCUUGUGCUGCCAGUCCCGCCCUGGGGACUGCUCCGGAGGGUGUAUCCCAGCUCUAGAAACCUAUCAUCAUCAUUCUCUCUCCACAGGCUGGCAGUCUGGCUGCAGAAUCUUUUACACCAGACAAGAAGCAAUCACAUUAGAGGAAUUACUUUUAUUUCCCUGAGAUACUCUCUUAUUGCUUGGAUAUUUUCUGCCAGGACUGUCUUACCUAGUCCUUUGGUUCUUCUGCCUGGGGAACAGAUAGGUGAUGUGGAAAUUCAGAGCUCCAGCUUGUAUUUUCUCCAUUCCUCAUUGCCUUUAGGAGCUGGAAAGACUGGGCAAACACUCCUAAGGCAAAAUGUACCUGGUUGUUCCUGCACCUUUUGUUUGAGCCCUUCUCAGAUUUGGGCCACUGGACUGGACCUCUUCACCUUUCAUCUUAAGCUGCCCCACCUAAAUACAAAUACUCAUAUGCCACAAGAAACCAGGCAAGUCUAGAUGUGUGUAAGGAAAAUAUCUGGUGUGCUUUUCACUAGCAAAUGUCUCUGCAAAAGAGAAACUUGUUGGGCAUACAAUGUGGUUUUCUUCUAACAGUUCUUUUUUUGAAGCAGCAUCUCAGGCUUGGGCAGAAUCUGUUCCCUCACCCCCUGGGAAUUGUGCAUCUGAGCUCUGCUGUGCUCCUUCUAGCACUCUUGUGUAGACUCCUCCAUGACAGAUGCAACAUGUUUCUUCUUCCUCUGCACAGGUGACCUCUCAUUUCCCUUUUUCUCUGUCUUAGUGCUAAGAUUUCUUUUAUCUUCCCCUUAAUCCUGUUACUCUGGAAUAUAACUCUCUGUCUGGCUCUGUAAACCGCAGGUGCUGAUUGACAGCCGUUCUGCUCUUCAUUUACCAGCAGUAUUUUCAUGUCUGUUGUUCUUUACUGCAGUCAGGGUGGUUUUAGUAUGUCCAUUCAUGGACUCCAAAAGAGACUGGAUUUAUCUUUCCUUCUAAAUAGACGUUUUCUACCCGAGGCACUGGGUCCUUGAGCUGUAACAAAAGCCUAGAGCAGCUUUUGCUGCAACAGCUGAUGUGAAAAAGCAAGCUAGGCAUGCAAAGGUGCCUGAAAACUUUGCUUGCUUAGGUGUGAUUCAUCCAAGGUGAGGAUUGCUGCUGUUGCCAUAAAGCUUUCUUGUUUUAAACAUUGCCUUAUCUGCUUGCAGCUGUUAAAAAUGAGAACAGCUUGACUUGCCAUAGACUUCACAGCUGAUGCAUCUGUGGCUUCCAAAUAGAUGGCAGAACCCUGGCAGCCUCUGCAAGAUAUGUCAACAGAAAGUUUGACCAGUGUGGGGAGAUGCUGGGGGGGUUUUAGGGUGAGUUUUAGGAGUGGUAACACCAUCAAACACAAGACAGCUCUCCAGCCUUGAGACACCUUGCAGCAUCCCUGGGUUCAGACCAGGCUGCAGAAAGCUGCAGGCCUUUGUGAGUCCAUCUCCAUGAAAAGCCUGGAUGCAAAUCCCAGGCUCUUGCUGGCCCUCAGUGAGUGCCCUGGCAGCUCCACACACAGCUGGGCACAACAGCCAGUGCUGCAGAGAGCAGGGUACAGAGCUGUAGCUCUGCUGACCACAGGAGUGAAGAGGAAUCCCCAGUCCCUCUGGCUCUGCCUCUCUCGUUCUUGCCAUGACUUCAGUCUGGGAGCCAGGUCAUACAUGACCAGUAUUCUCUGUUCUUCCCUCUGCUCUGUAGGAUUGGGAUCCCUCUUCUUCCCCUGGUAAACAACCCAACCCCCUUCUUCCUAACCUGCCUUUUCUUGCUGCACGUAUCUCCUGGUGCAGGGACCUAGGUAAUAUCACACCUGAGAGAUCUGGGUAGGGUUUGAGGCUCUGGCAUGUGGGGCACUGUGGGGAGAGGGUAGGGGGAAGGAUGGGACUUGGGGACCAGGCAGGAGAAUGCUGAAUUGGGCUGCAGUGGGAGCACAGAGCUGUGGCUGCCCUGGUUA